Molecule: long non-coding RNA, 342 nt
Organism: Mercenaria mercenaria
Lineage: Eukaryota; Metazoa; Mollusca; Bivalvia; Venerida; Veneridae
Exons: 3
Source: RefSeq, a predicted model, not a curated record
CAGCCACGACAACUGUUUUGAGCCAAGAUCCAAUCAUAGUGCGAGUCAAAACAAGCUUGGACUACUCGAUACUUCUAGCGUAUGGAUUGCAAGGCUCAUUUUUAGAUAUCGUUGUUAAUUUCUUGUUACCCGGAUUUGGUAUCCAGGAGGAACAUAUCCGUGACAAAAGCGUAUAUGAACAGGACGGCAAGGCAGAAGUAGAAAUUGAGCUGGAACCAGACACACCAAACGUACAUGGACUUGAAGCAUUUAUUAAAAGCUACGUAGACAGUGGUUCGAAUAUACCAGGACUUCCCGUCUUCGUUCCCCACGUUACCUUAAUUUCGUAUGAAGUGGAGUACC